UAGUACGUUCUAUAGAAGGUAUCCCUUGCGUCAUUCCUAUAAAAGAAAUAGAAGACACAAGUUGGUGGUCUAGUUUUUGGAAAGAUGACUUAUUUCCUAAAUAUCCUAGAGGAUUUUCUAUCUACAGCCUCAGUUGUAAGGGAUUUGGUCCACGUAACUGCUCUUAUACCAUUUGUAACCUCCCAAAUGCUAGUUAAGGCACAAGGGUACCUGAUAUAGAAACAAAUUAUGAGUGUAUAGUAGUUAAUUAUAUGCAACAGAGCAAUUUAUUACAAAUUCCUUACAAAAUAUGAGUUCCAAUUACACAUAUAACUGAGGUUAAAAGUGGCAACAAAAUACA
Molecule: long non-coding RNA, 340 nt
Filed under: Carica papaya (papaya)
Lineage: Eukaryota; Viridiplantae; Streptophyta; Magnoliopsida; Brassicales; Caricaceae
Description: long non-coding RNA (CPAP_LNC013124)
Source: RNAcentral